This 294-nucleotide small nuclear RNA is filed under the name Octodon degus (degu). RNAcentral describes it as "7SK RNA (ENSODEG00000022837.1)". It matches the Rfam family "7SK RNA". From Rfam's summary of the family: 7SK was discovered as an abundant small nuclear RNA in the mid-70s but a possible function has only recently been suggested. Lineage: Eukaryota; Metazoa; Chordata; Mammalia; Rodentia; Octodontidae. The record is from RNAcentral.
GGAUGUGAUGGUGAUCUGGCUGCGACAUCUGUCACCCCAUUGAUCGCCAAGGUUGAUUCAGCUGAUCUGGCUGGCUAGCCGGGUGUCCCCUUCCUCCUUCAGUGAUCAUGUGUGUCCCUCCCGAAGCUGCGCGCUCGGUCGAAGAGGACGACCACCCCCGAUAGAGGAGGACCGUUCCUCGGUCAAGGGUAUACGACUAGCUGUGCUCCCCUGCUAGAACCUCCAAACAAGCUCUCAGCAAUCCCAGCUCUUUAAAGCAGUGUCUCCUUCAGUAUCCCAGGCUGGCCUUGAACU